GCCCGGUUAGCUCAAUCGGUAGAGCGUGAGACUCUUAAUCUCAAGGUUGCGGGUAUGCUAUUCACUCGCCA
Molecule: non-coding RNA, 71 nt
Organism: Daldinia sp. EC12
Lineage: Eukaryota; Fungi; Ascomycota; Sordariomycetes; Xylariales; Hypoxylaceae
Source: the annotation of a GenBank genome assembly